Molecule: non-coding RNA, 448 nt
Organism: Dama dama (fallow deer)
Lineage: Eukaryota; Metazoa; Chordata; Mammalia; Artiodactyla; Cervidae
Source: the annotation of a RefSeq genome assembly
AAGGCAGGACGCCCUGACCAUGUCCACCAUGGCCUGGUCCCCUCUGCUCCUCACCCUGGUCACUCUCUGCACAGGAUCCUGGGCCCAGGAUGUGCUGACUCAGCCAUCGUCCGUGUCCAGGUCCCUGGGCCAGAGGGUCAGCAUCUCCUGCUCUGGAAGCAGCAGCAACAUUGGGCAUGAUAGUGUGAGCUGGUACCAACAGCUCCCAGGAAAGGCCCCCAGAUUCCUGAUCUAUGGUGAUGAUACCAGAGCCUUGGGGGUCCCGGAUCCAAUCUCUGACUCCAAGUCUGGGAACUCGGCCUCCCUGACCAUCACUUUGCUCCAGGGUGAGGAUGAAGCUGAUUAUUACUGCAGGUCUUAUGAUGACAGCUUGGAUAGUCACAUGGUGCUCCAGGCCAGGGUGGACGUGAGACAAAAACCUGCUCCUCGGCAGUGCCAGGGCUCCUGA